CACCGGCGGCCCGAGUGGUAACCGUUUUUAUUGGGUCUAAAGGGUCCGUAGCCGGCCUGAAAAGUCCUUUGGGAAAUCUGACAGCUUAACUGUCAGGCUUCUAAGGGAUACUGUCAGGCUUGGGACCGGGAGAGGUAAGGGGUACUCCAAGGGUAGGAGUGAAAUCUUGUAAUCCCUGGGGGACCAUCUGUGGCGAAGGCGCCUUACCAGAACGGGUCCGACGGUGAGGGACGAAAGCUAGGGGAGCAAACCGGAUUAGAUACCCGGGUAGUCCUAGCUGUAAACGAUGCUCGCUAGGUGUCAGACACGGUGCGACCGUGUUUGGUGCCGCAGGGAAGCCGUUAAGCGAGCCACCUGGGAAGUACGGUCGCAAGGCUGAAACUUAAAGGAAUUGGCGGGGGAGCACUACAACGGGUGGAGCCUGCGGUUUAAUUGGAUUCAACGCCGGGAACCUCACCAGGGGUGACAGCAUAAUGAUAGUCAGCUUGAAGAGCUUACUUGAAGCGCUGAGAGGUAUUGCAUGGCCGACGUCAGUUCGUGCCGCGAGGUGUCCUGUUAAGUCAGGUAAACGAACGAGACCCGUACCCUAUGUUGCUAACUGUUUCCUCGGAAGCAGUGCACUCAUAGGGGACCGCUGGUGACAAAUCAGAGGAAGGAACGGUCAACGUUAGGUCAGUAUGGUCCGAAUCCCUUGGGCUACACGCGGGCAACAAUGUUAGGUACAAUAGGAUGCAACACCGAAAGGUGAAGCUAAUCCCGUGAAACCCUAACUUAGUACAGAUGAGGCUUGCAAGCUCAGCCUCAUGACGCCGGAAUCCCUAGUAGUCGAACCGUUAGCACCGUUCGGCGAAUACGUCCCUGCUCCUUGCACACACCGCCCGUCAGA
Molecule: ribosomal RNA, 886 nt
Filed under: uncultured archaeon
Lineage: Archaea
Description: bacterial SSU rRNA
Rfam family: Archaeal small subunit ribosomal RNA
Source: RNAcentral